AUGCUUAUUUUUAAUUUUACAUCAGAACAAAAUGAAGAUGUUACUGACACUACUAGUACUGCCAAUACUGCUAAUUCUGCCAAUACUGCUAAUUCUGCCAAUACUGCCAAUAGUAGUGACAGCACGAGUAAUAAUAGUAACAUUAAUUGUGAUAGUGAUAAUAAUGAUGGUAUUACAAUUAUAUCAAACGAAAAAUGUAUAAUUAAUGAAAGUAUACAUAACUGUAGUAAUAAAAAGUUAGAUGAGCAAACAUAUUAUAAAUCUAAAAACAUUGAAAUUAAUGACUCAAUUCAUGAUUUAAAAGAAAAAUCAACAAAUGAUAUAGCUCAUAGUAACGAUACACGUACAUAUCAAAAAAAAAAGUUACAAAUCAAUCAAGAGAAUAAUAUCAGAUUUGGAAAUAGCGAUUUAGAAGAUUGUAAUAGCAAUACAUGUGUUGAUAUUAUGACUAAUAAAACUAAAAUUAGUGAUAUGAAAAAUCAGAAUGUGGAUAACACAUAUGUGGAUAAUAAAGUUUCGUAUAGUGAAAAUACAACCAAUAAAAAUACAACCAAUAAAAAUACGACAAAUAAAGAUACGACAAAUAAANNNNNNNNNNAUACGACAAAUAAAGAUACGACAAAUAAAAAUACGACAAAUAAAGAUUCGACAAAUAAAAAUAUGACCGAUGAUGACACAAGUGAAGAUAUAGAGGAAGAAGAUGAUAUAUAUUAUGAAGACAUUAAAAGAAAUAUAUGGUUACAAAAUGUCAAUUUCUAUAAAAAUAAAACUAAAAUAGUUAAAUAUAUUAAACUUGAAUCUGUAAAAUGCAUCAUAUUAUUUUGCUAUUUACAUAAAAUAAAAUAUUUUCAAGGCAUGCAUGAUAUGAUAAUUAGUUUAUUUUAUUUAAAUUUGCACCCGCAUGAAGCUUUUUGUGUUUUUGAAAAAAUUUUGCACUAUUAUGCGCCCCAUUUAUAUUUAGAAAACAAACAAAGUUAUUUCGAAUUGAAAAAUGACGUAAGCAUAAACACUAUUGAUAAUAAUUGUAAUGGAUCAGAUAUAAGUAUAUACAUAUGUAAUUAUAACGCCAAAGUAUUUAGACUUUUAUUUCAGUUUUUUUUUCCUCAUAUAAGCUACUAUUUUGACACAGCCGUUAGUGAAACGUGGCCAUCUUUUUUUUUUGUCAAUUUAAACUUUAGUAAAUUUAAUAAUGUGUACUGCUUGUUAUAUAUAUGGAUAAGGCUGAUAGAAAUAAAAGGUAGUGAUAAUAAAGUAAGUUGUGAUUUUAUUAUUUAUUUGUUAUCUUUUAUUUUAUAUAAAUUAAAAUGUAUUAAAAAAAAGUUAUAUGAAAAAGAAAUGAAUACUCACUGUAUGGUUCAAAGUGUUGAUGCUAAAUGCGUCAAAGAUUUAAAAACAAAUGAAUAUAAUACUAUGUCAACAAAUAAUAAAAUGAACAAUAAUAUUAAAAAUGAAGAUAAUUACGCGAUGUUUGAUUCUUUUAGUGACAAAAAUGAAAAUGUGCAAAAAGAAGCAAAAGCACAGGUAGACGUAAAAGAUAAAAAAGAAGCAAAACCAAAAGAAGUAACAAACUCAAAAAAUGUACAAGAUAUUAAAAAAAAAAAAUUAUCUAUGUACUGCUCCGAUAUUUUUUCCCUAUUUUUCGAGUUUGAUUCAUCUUUUGAUUCAUGCUUCGAUGAAAAUUAUAAACUACACACAGAAGACAUAAUAGAAAGUAUGAAAAAAACAAAAAGCAUGAUUCCUAUAAGUAUUAUAGAUUUUAUAAUUAAUUAUAAUUCUUCAUAUCAAAAAAACGAUCAACUAUUUAACACGCAUAGUUCUAACAGUGAUAACAAAAAAUUACAAAACACAUUUACCCAACUAAUGGAUGAAAAUUUAUGUAUACAAAUAAAAAUAUCAGACUUAUUAUAUUUCUAUAAUAAUGUAAAAUCUUAUAUAUUUAUUUUCAUUCGAUUGUUAGACAAUAAACUUGUUUUAAGUAAACUCAAGUCCAUUAACUUAUAUAAUUUAGUCAUAGAAAAUUUUAUUUAUUUAAAAAAUGUUGAUGAAUUUUUAUAUUAUAAAAAAAAACCAUUUAAAACAUACAUUUGA
This 2088-nucleotide long non-coding RNA is filed under the name Piliocolobus tephrosceles (Ugandan red Colobus). RNAcentral describes it as "lncRNA (ENSPTEG00000002331.1)". The record is from RNAcentral. Lineage: Eukaryota; Metazoa; Chordata; Mammalia; Primates; Cercopithecidae.